UCCAGCGGUGGUCAGCUGUCUGUGUCAGUACCAUGUCUGUGACAGUGUUACACUGCUGGGAGAUAAAGGUACUGUCUGUUUUAGCUGUCUGUCAGUACCUCUGUUCUGGGGGCAACUGACACCAGUGUGGGACAGUACUGUGCUUCUUCGAGAGUGUGCUGAGCAGUUGAUAUCCUGUUCAGUCCUAGUUUUGAAGCAUACAGA
Rhineura floridana is the source of this 204-nucleotide small nucleolar RNA. RefSeq annotates it as small nucleolar RNA SNORA74. Lineage: Eukaryota; Metazoa; Chordata; Lepidosauria; Squamata; Rhineuridae. The transcript has a single exon. The record is from RefSeq and is a predicted model, not a curated record.